This 467-nucleotide ribosomal RNA is filed under the name uncultured prokaryote. RNAcentral describes it as "bacterial SSU rRNA". It matches the Rfam family "Bacterial small subunit ribosomal RNA", at positions 351 to 810 of the family's 1533-position model. The record is from RNAcentral.
GGGCCCAACCAGCAUGCUCGACGCGAAAGCCUGACGCAGCAAUGCCGCGUGAGUGAUGAAGGCCUUCGGGUCGUAAAGCUCUGUCAGAGGGAAAGAAACUCCCGUCGGUUAAUACCCGGCGGGCCUGACGGUACCCUCAAAGGAAGCACCGGCUAACUCCGUGCCAACAGCCGCGGUAAUACGGAGGGUGCAAGCGUUGUUCGGAAUUAUUGGGCGUAAAGCGCGUGUAGGCGGUUCGUUAAGUCUGAUGUGAAAGCCCUGGGCUUAACCUGGGAAGUGCAUUGGAAACUGGCGAACUUGAGUAUGGGAGAGGAAAGUGGAAUUCCGAGUGUAGGGGUGAAAUCCGUAGAUAUUCGGAGGAACACCAGUGGCGAAGGCGGCUUUCUGGACCAAUACUGACGCUGAGACGCGAAAGCGUGGGGAGCAAACAGGAUUAGAUACCCUGGUAGUCCACCCCGGUAAACGAU